RNAcentral lists this ribosomal RNA (2245 nucleotides) under Cronobacter turicensis. RNAcentral's name for it is "partial 23S ribosomal RNA". It matches the Rfam family "Bacterial large subunit ribosomal RNA", at positions 711 to 2925 of the family's 2925-position model. Lineage: Bacteria; Pseudomonadati; Pseudomonadota; Gammaproteobacteria; Enterobacterales; Enterobacteriaceae. The record is from RNAcentral.
AGACCCGAAACCCGGUGAUCUAGCCAUGGGCAGGUUGAAGGUUGGGUAACACUAACUGGAGGACCGAACCGACUAAUGUUGAAAAAUUAGCGGAUGACCUGUGGCUGGGGGUGAAAGGCCAAUCAAACCGGGAGAUAGCUGGUUCUCCCCGAAAGCUAUUUAGGUAGCGCCUCGUGAAUUCAUCUCCGGGGGUAGAGCACUGUUUCGGCUAGGGGGCCAUCCCGGCUUACCAACCCGAUGCAAACUGCGAAUACCGGAGAAUGUUAUCACGGGAGACACACGGCGGGUGCUAACGUCCGUCGUGAAGAGGGAAACAACCCAGACCGCCAGCUAAGGUCCCAAAGUCAUGGUUAAGUGGGAAACGAUGUGGGAAGGCCCAGACAGCCAGGAUGUUGGCUUAGAAGCAGCCAUCAUUUAAAGAAAGCGUAAUAGCUCACUGGUCGAGUCGGCCUGCGCGGAAGAUGUAACGGGGCUAAACCAUGCACCGAAGCUGCGGCAGCGACACUAUGUGUUGUUGGGUAGGGGAGCGUUCUGUAAGCCGUCGAAGGUGUGCUGUGAGGCAUGCUGGAGGUAUCAGAAGUGCGAAUGCUGACAUAAGUAACGAUAAAGCGGGUGAAAAGCCCGCUCGCCGGAAGACCAAGGGUUCCUGUCCAACGUUAAUCGGGGCAGGGUGAGUCGACCCCUAAGGCGAGGCCGAAAGGCGUAGUCGAUGGGAAACAGGUUAAUAUUCCUGUACUUGGUGUUACUGCGAAGGGGGGACGGAGAAGGCUAUGUUGGCCGGGCGACGGUUGUCCCGGUUUAAGCGUGUAGGCUGACUUUCCAGGCAAAUCCGGAAAGUUAAGGCUGAGGCGUGAUGACGAGGCACUACGGUGCUGAAGUGACAAAUGCCCUGCUUCCAGGAAAAGCCUCUAAGCAUCAGGUAACAUCAAAUCGUACCCCAAACCGACACAGGUGGUCAGGUAGAGAAUACCAAGGCGCUUGAGAGAACUCGGGUGAAGGAACUAGGCAAAAUGGUGCCGUAACUUCGGGAGAAGGCACGCUGACAUGUAGGUGAAGCCCCUGCGGGUGGAGCUGAAGUCAGUCGAAGAUACCAGCUGGCUGCAACUGUUUAUUAAAAACACAGCACUGUGCAAACACGAAAGUGGACGUAUACGGUGUGACGCCUGCCCGGUGCCGGAAGGUUAAUUGAUGGGGUUAUCGCAAGAGAAGCUCCUGAUCGAAGCCCCGGUAAACGGCGGCCGUAACUAUAACGGUCCUAAGGUAGCGAAAUUCCUUGUCGGGUAAGUUCCGACCUGCACGAAUGGCGUAAUGAUGGCCAGGCUGUCUCCACCCGAGACUCAGUGAAAUUGAACUCGCUGUGAAGAUGCAGUGUACCCGCGGCAAGACGGAAAGACCCCGUGAACCUUUACUACAGCUUGACACUGAACAUUGAGCCUUGAUGUGUAGGAUAGGUGGGAGGCUUUGAAGCGUGGACGCCAGUCUGCGUGGAGCCAACCUUGAAAUACCACCCUUUAAUGUUUGAUGUUCUAACCUGGCGCCGUGAUCCGGCGUGGGGACAGUGUCUGGUGGGUAGUUUGACUGGGGCGGUCUCCUCCCAAAGUGUAACGGAGGAGCACGAAGGUCAGCUAAUCCUGGUCGGACAUCAGGAGGUUAGUGCAAUGGCAUAAGCUGGCUUGACUGCGAGAGUGACGGCUCGAGCAGGUGCGAAAGCAGGUCAUAGUGAUCCGGUGGUUCUGUAUGGAAGGGCCAUCGCUCAACGGAUAAAAGGUACUCCGGGGAUAACAGGCUGAUACCGCCCAAGAGUUCAUAUCGACGGCGGUGUUUGGCACCUCGAUGUCGGCUCAUCACAUCCUGGGGCUGAAGUAGGUCCCAAGGGUAUGGCUGUUCGCCAUUUAAAGUGGUACGCGAGCUGGGUUUAGAACGUCGUGAGACAGUUCGGUCCCUAUCUGCCGUGGGCGCUGGAGAAUUGAGGGGGGCUGCUCCCAGUACGAGAGGACCGGAGUGGACGCAUCACUGGUGUUCGGGUUGUCAUGCCAAUGGCACUGCCCGGUAGCUAAAUGCGGAAGAGAUAAGUGCUGAAAGCAUCUAAGCACGAAACUUGCCCCGAGAUGAGUUCUCCCUGAGACUAUAAGUCUCCUGAAGGAACGUUGAAGACGACGACGUUGAUAGGCCGGGUGUGUAAGCGCAGCGAUGCGUUGAGCUAACCGGUACUAAUGAACCGUGAGGCUUAACCUUACAACGCCAA